This 579-nucleotide long non-coding RNA is filed under the name Cicer arietinum (chickpea). RNAcentral describes it as "long non-coding RNA (CARI_LNC003464)". The record is from RNAcentral. Lineage: Eukaryota; Viridiplantae; Streptophyta; Magnoliopsida; Fabales; Fabaceae.
AUUAUUGUGAGUGGAAAAUUAAAGUAAGUGGAGUGUGAGUGGAAAGUAAAAGUAAGUGGAAUGGGAGUAUUUUUUUGUGAGUGAAAAAAAAAGUAAAAAGAGUGGGAAUAUUUUAGUGGAGUGUGAGUGGAAAGUAAAAGUAAGUGGUGGGAAUAUUAUUGUGAGUGGAAAAUAAAAAUAAGUGGAGUGUGAGUGGAAAGUAAAAGUAAGUGGAAUGAGAGUAAGUAAGUGGUGGAAAUAUUAUUGUGAGUGGAAAAUAAAAGUAAGUGGAGUGUGAGUGAAAACUAAAAAUAAGUGGAAUGGGAGUAAGUAAAUGGUGAGAAUAUUAUUGUGAGUGGAAAAUAAAAGUAAGUGGAGUGUGAGUGGAAAGUAAAAGUAAGUGGAAUGAGAGUAAGUAAGUGGUGGAAAUAUUAUUGUGAGUGGAAAAUAAAAAUAAGUGGAGUGUGAGUGGAAAGUAAAAGUAAGUGGAAUGAGAGUAAGUAAGUGGUGGAAAUAUUAUUGUGAGUGGAAAAUAAAAAUAAGUGGAGUGUGAGUGGAAAGUAAAAGUAAGUGGAAUGAGAGUAAGUAAGUGGUGGAAAU